UGGGGAAUUUUGGACAAUGGGCGCAAGCCUGAUCCAGCAAUGCCGCGUGCAGGAAGAAGGCGCUCAGCGUUGUAAACUGCUUUUAUCGGGGAAGAACGGCAGUCCUGCGGGAUUGUGUGACGGUACUCGAGGAAUAAGCACCGGCUAACUCCGUGCCAGCAGCCGCGGUAAUACGGAGGGUGCGAGCGUUGUCCGGAUUUAUUGGGUUUAAAGGGUGCGUAGGUGGUUGAGUAAGUCUGGUUUGAAAGUCAGUCUCUUAACGAUUGAGGGUGGCUGGAUACUGAUGAACUUGAAUGCCCUGGGGGUAGGUGGAACGGGUUGUGUAGCGGUGAAAGGCAUAGAUAUGACCCAGAACCCCAAUUGCGAAGGCAGCCUACUACGGGGUGAUUGACACUGAGGCACGAGAGCAUGGGGAGGAAACA
This 422-nucleotide ribosomal RNA is filed under the name uncultured bacterium. RNAcentral's name for it is "bacterial SSU rRNA". It matches the Rfam family "Bacterial small subunit ribosomal RNA", at positions 355 to 774 of the family's 1533-position model. The record is from RNAcentral.